GUGCCAGCCGCCGCGGUAAUACGUAGGGGGCAAGCGUUGUCCGGAAUGACUGGGCGUAAAGGGUACGUAGGCGGUCAUGUAAGUCAGGUGUGAAAUUCUAGGGCUCAACCCUAGAUAGCACUUGAAACUGCGUGACUUGAGUCAAGGAGAGGAAAGUGGAAUUCCUGGUGUAGCGGUGAAAUGCGUAGAUAUCAGGAGGAAUACCAGUGGCGAAGGCGACUUUCUGGCCUUAGACUGACGCUGAGGUACGAAAGCGUGGGGAGCAAACAGGAUUAGAUACCCUGGUAGUCCACGCCGUAAACGAUGAGUGCUAGGUGUCGGGGCGAAAGUUUCGGUGCCGAAGUUAACACAUUAAGCACUCCGCCUGGGGAGUACGGUCGCAAGACUGAAACUCAAAGGAAUUGACGG
RNAcentral lists this ribosomal RNA (408 nucleotides) under uncultured bacterium. RNAcentral describes it as "bacterial SSU rRNA". It matches the Rfam family "Bacterial small subunit ribosomal RNA", at positions 505 to 916 of the family's 1533-position model. The record is from RNAcentral.